UGAAAGCCCCCGGCUUCAACCGGGGAGGGUCAUUGGAAACUGGGGAACUUUGAGUGCAGAAGAGGAGAGUGGAAUUCCACGUGUAGCGGUGAAAUGCGUAGAGAUGUGGAGGAACACCAGUGGCGAAGGCGACUCUCUGGUCUGUAACUGACGCUGAGGAGCGAAAGCGUGGGGAGCGAACAGGAUUAGAUACCCUGGUAGUCCACGCCGUAAACGAUGAGUGCUAAGUGUUAGGGGGUUUCCGCCCCUUAGUGCUGCAGCUAACGCAUUAAGCACUCCGCCUGGGGAGUACGGUCGCAAGACUGAAACUCAAAGGAAUUGACGGGGGCCCGCACAAGCGGUGGAGCAUGUGGUUUAAUUCGAAGCAACGCGAAGAACCUUACCAGGUCUUGACAUCCUCUGACGAUCCUAGAGAUAGGACGUCCCCUUCGGGGGCAGAGUGACAGGUGGUGCAUGGUUGUCGUCAGCUCGUGUCGUGAGAUGUUGGGUUAAGUCCCGCAACGAGCGCAACCCUUGAUCUUAGUUGCCAGCAUUCAGUUGGGCACUCUAAGGUGACUGCCGGUGACAAACCGGAGGAAGGUGGGGAUGACGUCAAAUCAUCAUGCCCCUUAUGACCUGGGCUACACACGUGCUACAAUGGACAGAAC
RNAcentral lists this ribosomal RNA (647 nucleotides) under Bacillus subtilis. RNAcentral describes it as "bacterial SSU rRNA". It matches the Rfam family "Bacterial small subunit ribosomal RNA", at positions 595 to 1240 of the family's 1533-position model. Lineage: Bacteria; Bacillati; Bacillota; Bacilli; Caryophanales; Bacillaceae. The record is from RNAcentral.